CCUACGGGAGGCAGCAGUAGGGAAUCUUCCGCAAUGGACGAAAGUCUGACGGAGCAACGCCGCGUGAGUGAUGAAGGCUUUCGGGUCGUAAAACUCUGUUGUUAGGGAAGAACAAGUACAAGAGUAACUGCCUGUACCUUGACGGUACCUAACCAGAAAGCCACGGCUAACUACGUGCCAGCAGCCGCGGUAA
Molecule: ribosomal RNA, 193 nt
Filed under: uncultured bacterium
Lineage: Bacteria
Description: partial 16S ribosomal RNA
Rfam family: Bacterial small subunit ribosomal RNA
Source: RNAcentral